Brachypodium distachyon (stiff brome) is the source of this 3487-nucleotide long non-coding RNA. RefSeq lists it as uncharacterized. The transcript has 3 exons. The record is from RefSeq and is a predicted model, not a curated record. NCBI's taxonomy places the organism in Eukaryota, Viridiplantae, Streptophyta, Magnoliopsida, Poales, Poaceae.
UUCAUUCAUCACACAUAAUCGUCAGGUAGUACAAUGCCAAACUUUUAAGGAGCCGUAGCUCUUAAAUAUGGGACCCAUGUACAUACUCUCGACUUAGAUGAUUCCUUCCUUAGCUGGAGACAUCUUCUCGAGCCCUCUCCCUGACGGUGGUCCAUCUUUGUCAGCCAGUUCCUCCUGGACUGGCUCAGCUGUGCACGUCACACUCAUGGCGAGAGACAGGGGAGGCGUGACAAUGCGGCGCCGUGAGGAACUUCGUGGACGACGCCUCGGUGGGGUGUGGUCAUUUACUACAACCCCAGGCUCGGGGACCUUGUCGUCGGCGUCAGGGGCAACAGGAGGGCGCUCGACGUCAACGUCGGUGCUAGAGGUGAGCCGGCUCUGAUGCUGACAAAGCAGGCGGCGCUGAUAUCAGGGGAAGGAGAUUGGUUGGCUGGCAUGCGACCUUGCUUCGAGUGGCGGAGUGAGUUCGCCGCCGAAGGCAGGGUUGGCAUCGUGGUCAGCAGCCGGGAGAGGAGGGAGAGGAGUUUGACGGUUGGGAGGAACGGGAAGGAUAAAGGUGCCCCAGUGGUGGGCGUUGGCAUGGUGGGUGUUCGCUGAGGUCCUCGGUCGAACACUUGGUGGGCGGCCAUUGCUCUCCGCAGGAUGUUCCGUCGCGUCGCGUGGCACAGAGUGAGGUAGGUCCUCCAUGACUCUCCUCUGUACUGUUGUUGGAAUUUGAUGAAUUCAUAUGUUAGCAAUGACUUGAUCGGUCAAUGUAUGUUUUAGUGUGAUGCACUAGCAUCAGUGCCAUAUAGAGUUCGAAGGUAAUGCUGUACCAAUACUUGAAACACCACCAAUACUGCAUGAUUAGUGUAAGUAGCAGGCCUGCAACUUCAAUCAUGACCAUCACCAUGCUGGUACCAAGUAGAUUUCAUAAAAUUACCUCUCAAAGCUCGAGCUGUUAAGGCAUGCUGAUAGGGAAAUCUGUACUACAGAGUACUAUUUAUGCCACCUAACUUAAUAAGUAAAUUUUUCUCUGAAGUUCUUGGGUUGGUAUAAGUCAUAAGCAUUUUGAUCUGUAGCCCAGAAAAGAGCAUUUCAUGACACACUAAAGCCUGCAAAAAAGAGCAUUCCACAUUAAGCUCAUAGAGUGCUUUCAAGAACAUGAAGUACAUGGAGAAAUAUUUCAGUAGCAUUACUUCAUAUUAUCAUGAGAUCUGAAAGACAUGUCUUAUAUUUUAGGAUGUGCGUGCAUUCCACAUAAGCAUUGCACAUAAUCAUUUGUUUUUCGUGUGCGUGGUGAGUGCCAUUGCAGCACCAUCUUCAGUUAAUUGUCAAAUAGAUGAAGAACACCAUGAAGCUCAGUGCAGAGUCCCUGGUGGAGAUCUGCUCAUGAUGUUUUCCUCCAAUAAUAGGAACCAGAGGACAGUCUCCUAUGCACAAGUCAUGUAUACGAGUCUAUAUCCCUAUCGUUCAUACUUCAGACCCCAUUUGUCUUCAGAUUAACUAGCUUUAGAAGAUUCUUGGGUGGCGUGUGCAGCUCUAUGAGGUUACAGGUUCUAAAUUUGGUCUCCUAUUAAGUUGGUCGGCAUCCAGAUGGAUGGGCAUCACCUUAUUGUGUCCUGCUUCACUUGAUUAAACAUGUGCUGAUUUUGCCAUAAAAUAGGUUACUACCCAUAGUUUGAUGAUCUUCACAUGAGCUAUAUAAUAUCACGUCACUUUCUUACCUUACACCAUGUUUUGGUCAUUCCAACUGAUUCUUUAUGGGUUUGCGACAAAAAGUGAAAGGCAAUCAUCUUUCAUUUGUUUAGAUGGUUAGUGCUCUCAAUGCCAUUUGUUUUCAAUCAUUAUUUCUCUUUCCUAAAAUAUAUGAAACCUGAAGUUUUUCUUUUUCCAACAAUCAAGUACUAGAUACUAAAGUUUGAUUACUUAAUUGAUUGCAAUGAGAUGGCAUGUGCUAUUAGCGGAGGAAGGGCCUCUUGAGUGGCACCAAUCAUUCAACAAAUGUGAUUACGUAAUGACACCAUAUGUGCGUUCUUUCUUAGUUCAAAUUGCAUAUGCUGGUUUAGAAGUUAACACCAAAUAUCAUUGUAUCAGAAAAAGUACACCACUUCAUAACCAUCUCAUUAAUUAAGUAAACCCCCUCAUAUCAGUAUUAUUAUCAUAUUGCUGCAUCUGAAAACACCAGAUCUAUGAGUAUGGAUCUGAAAAUAAUGUAUGCAGGUGAACAACCUGGACGAGGAACGUAGGCUCAGUUUUACCUGAAUUUCAGAACAUAUUACCUUCAGAGAAUUAUGAUUCUACAACUCUGAUGCCACUUUUUUUUGACAAGGGGGUGGUAAUCUAUUAAUCAAGGAUCCAAAGAUUUACAAUCAUUCGCAAUCUGUCGCACCACACAGGGAGGAAUAGAAUUACGAAGAACACCACCACACAACCCACUAACACUAAACUUGGCAAGCUCAUGCGCUACACAAUUGUUCAAACGGCCAGUAUGUUGGAAACUGAUGCCCGGAUCAGAAGAAGAAAGGUGCAAGAUGUCACUGAUAAUUGGUCGAGAGAUCGAUCUGUUAUCUGACCCUUGACGAAGUGCCGAAAUAAGAGCAAGACAAUCACUUUCCACAACCAGUGGCCGUGUAGAUCCCUUCCAGGCAGGCCACAGCUUCAGCCAUUUCGGCACAAGGGCAUCCGUCAAUGACGUUCCAAGCCGAGACAAUAACAGAAUUAUGAUCGUCACGCACAAUAGCCCCCUAAGCAGCCAGACCCGAAGCCGGAAUAAAGCUAGCAUCAACAUUCAGUUUAACCCAACCUGAAACAGGAGGAGACCAGUUCGAGCACUGGGGCUGAACCAGGGCAAUCUUCAUGGCCGGCUGGGGAAUAUUAACGGCCUCCUUACCUUUCAGGUCGGGAGCCUUAAUCUUGUCCUUGAGAGAAAGUAAGGAGUUGGCAUAACCGAAGAGGAAUUGCGCUGAAGCUGAAACAGAAGCAUCACCUUUUGCAAAAAUAACGUCGUUUCGGAGAUGCCAAGCUCUCCACCACAAGAACAGAAGCUUUGAUCUGCAGUCCUCAUCAACUUGGCUCAGUAACAAUAGGACCCAAUCCGGUCCAGUUCGCCUCAAGGCAGCGUCCGGGGGGAGGGACCAGACCAACCGAACUGAAUCUCUUAAGGCUCUUGCCUUAGUGCAGUUCAUUACAGCAUGGUAGCCGUCCUCUUGUUCAGUGGCACAAAUAGAGCACAUCGGGGACACGUUUUUGAAACUCUGAUGCCACUUUGACAAUUGUUCUUAAUGCAUAAACAAUGUUGAGUGCAACAAUUAUAUAGAAGAGAGUCCACAUGGUUUCAAGUAAAGAGUGAUUAUCAGGAGGGUAAAAAAAGUGGACAUUCACCGAUUUAAUAGAAUAGUGGGUAAUAUUGUGGAGUACCUUGUAUUUUAAUUAUUGCUUUGAAUUUCUGUCGAGUUGUAAUAUUUUGGUACCUAAUUAUAAUAUUUAUGUGCUCGUGGAUUUUAUA